RNAcentral lists this long non-coding RNA (353 nucleotides) under Homo sapiens (human). Its description in RNAcentral is "HSALNT0118264". Lineage: Eukaryota; Metazoa; Chordata; Mammalia; Primates; Hominidae. The record is from RNAcentral.
UUCCCCAUGUUAGCCAGGAGAGUCUCAAUCUCCUGACCUCGGGAUCCACCCACGUUGGCCUCUCAAAGUGCUGGUAUUACAGACGUGAGCCACCGCGCCCGGCCUAUUUUUAAAUAGAGACGAAGUUUCACCAGUUGACCAGAGAUUGGGGUGGUUCUUACUGUGUCCGGAAUUCGUGGGCUCUUCGUCUGACUUGAAGAAUGAAGCCACGGACCCUCACGGUGAAUAUCACAGUUCUUAAAGGCGGCGUGGCCGGAGUUUGCUCCUUUUGAUGUUGUGUUCGGAGUUUCAUCCUUCUGGUGGGUUCGUGAUCUCGCUAGCUCAAGGAGGGAACCUGGAGAUCCUCGCGAGGA